GAGAAGAAUUAAGAAAUGUAGAAACUGCUAAUUAUCUAACCCGUGGUUAAACUCCACGAUCUACUC
RNAcentral lists this transfer RNA (66 nucleotides) under Batrachoseps wrighti (Oregon slender salamander). RNAcentral describes it as "tRNA-Ser". Lineage: Eukaryota; Metazoa; Chordata; Amphibia; Caudata; Plethodontidae. The record is from RNAcentral.